RNAcentral lists this small nuclear RNA (23 nucleotides) under Arabidopsis thaliana (thale cress). RNAcentral's name for it is "snRNA_05927". The record is from RNAcentral. Lineage: Eukaryota; Viridiplantae; Streptophyta; Magnoliopsida; Brassicales; Brassicaceae.
AAGUUUACAAGGAACUAGAGUUC